RNAcentral lists this ribosomal RNA (253 nucleotides) under uncultured bacterium. RNAcentral's name for it is "partial 16S ribosomal RNA". It matches the Rfam family "Bacterial small subunit ribosomal RNA", at positions 524 to 776 of the family's 1533-position model. The record is from RNAcentral.
UACAGAGGUCCCAAGCGUUGUUCGGAUUCACUGGGCGUAAAGGGUGCGUAGGCGGUCGGGUAAGUCUGAUGUGAAAUCUCACAGCUUAACUGUGAAACUGCAUUGGAUACUAUCCGGCUAGAGGAAUGGAGGGGAGACUGGAAUACUUGGUGUAGCAGUGAAAUGCGUAGAUAUCAAGUGGAACACCAGUGGCGAAGGCGAGUCUCUGGACAUUUCCUGACGCUGAGGCACGAAAGCGUGGGGAGCAAACAGG